GAUGAACGCUGGCGGCGUGCUUAACACAUGCAAGUCGAACGGAAAGGCUCCUGCUUGCCGGGGUCCUCGAGUGGCGAACGGGUGAGUAACACGUGGGUGAUCUGCCCUGCACUUCGGGAUAAGCCUGGGAAACUGGGUCUAAUACCGGAUAGGACCACACUUUGGUUGGUGUGGUGGAAAGUUUUUCGGUGUGGGAUGAGCUCGCGGCCUAUCAGCUUGUUGGUGGGGUAAUGGCCUACCAAGGCGUCGACGGGUAGCCGGCCUGAGAGGGUGUACGGCCACAUUGGGACUGAGAUACGGCCCAGACUCCUACGGGAGGCAGCAGUGGGGAAUAUUGCACAAUGGGCGCAAGCCUGAUGCAGCGACGCCGCGUGGGGGAUGACGGCCUUCGGGUUGUAAACUCCUUUCGCUAGGGACGAAGCGUUUUUGUGACGGUACCUGGAGAAGAAGCACCGGCUAACUACGUG
Molecule: ribosomal RNA, 467 nt
Filed under: uncultured bacterium
Lineage: Bacteria
Description: partial 16S ribosomal RNA
Rfam family: Bacterial small subunit ribosomal RNA
Source: RNAcentral